This 486-nucleotide ribosomal RNA is filed under the name uncultured Actinomycetales bacterium. RNAcentral describes it as "partial 16S ribosomal RNA". The record is from RNAcentral. Lineage: Bacteria; Bacillati; Actinomycetota; Actinomycetes; Actinomycetales.
CACGUAGUUAGCCGGCGCUUCUUCUGCAAGUACCGUCACUUUCGCUUCUUCCUUACUGAAAGAGGUUUACAACCCGAAGGCCGUCAUCCCUCACGCGGCGUCGCUGCAUCAGGCUUUCGCCCAUUGUGCAAUAUUCCCCACUGCUGCCUCCCGUAGGAGUCUGGGCCGUGUCUCAGUCCCAGUGUGGCCGGUCACCCUCUCAGGCCGGCUACCCGUCGUCGCCUUGGUGAGCCACUACCUCACCAACAAGCUGAUAGGCCGCGAGUCCAUCCCCAACCAAAAAAUCUUUCCAACACCCACCAUGCGGUAAAUGUUCAUAUCCAGUAUUAGACCCAAUUUCUCAGGCUUAUCCCAGAGUCAGGGGCAGGUUACUCACGUGUUACUCACCCGUUCGCCACUAAUCCACCUAGCAAGCUAGGCAUCAUCGUCGACUUGCAUGUGUUAAGCACGCCGCCAGCGUUCAUCCUGAGCCAGGACUCAAACUCU